ACCAGCCUGGGUCUGUCUGUCUUAGCAUCAGGAGCAGCAGCCACACCUUUAACCCGCUCUCGGGAGGCAGAGGCAGGCCCGUCUCGGACAGAAGCAAGGUGGUCAAAGUCCAUGUGAACAAGCACGCCUUCGAUUCCCCUGCUGGGCUUCUGUGUGGGUGUUUCUGACACCCCUGGCCUCCCCAGCACUUACCAAAACCAGCUCACAGCAGCAAAUUCUGCCACCGUUUCCAAGAUGCCCAUGUGCACGUCUCCAGCAACCAGGAGUGCCACUUGCAAGGACUUGAAUGUCAUCCAUCUGAAAUGCCCUCAUCAGGGAGGUCAUGACCUCUUCCAACAUCUGGGAGAGGGAAGCCCUGACUCUCACCACGGACCAUCAGCAACACAGCCAUUUCAUUCACACUGACCAUUUGUGAGCACGGUGCUGGGCAUAAAACCCAGGCUUGUGCACACUUGGCGAGCACUCUGCCACUGAAGGACUCCCCACACCAAGUUUUGUGAGAAAGGUCUCAGUGUGUAGUCCAGGCUGGCUGGGCAGUCUCUAUCCUUCCGACUCUCCUGAGUGCCGGGAUUAUAGGGGUGUCCACCACACCUGGCUAAACCAACUCCUUAUAAUCCUGGACUUCCUUUUUCCUAAUUUAACUUGAGCCCCUGAUCACACCCUCUUGACUACCUUAUUCUCACUCUCUGAAAUGUUCUGUCCCCACUGCAAAGAUCCGGAGUUUAGUGCCUUCUCUGGAGGAGCUGUUAAAUGAAAUACAUCUUGUAGCUUUAAGUCCA
Cricetulus griseus (Chinese hamster) is the source of this 779-nucleotide non-coding RNA. The record is from RefSeq and is a predicted model, not a curated record. Lineage: Eukaryota; Metazoa; Chordata; Mammalia; Rodentia; Cricetidae.